AAGCACCCUCCAUGAUAAGC
Molecule: microRNA, 20 nt
Filed under: Heligmosomoides polygyrus
Lineage: Eukaryota; Metazoa; Nematoda; Chromadorea; Rhabditida; Heligmosomidae
Description: hpo-miR-10043a-3p
Source: miRBase by way of RNAcentral